RNAcentral lists this ribosomal RNA (468 nucleotides) under uncultured bacterium. RNAcentral describes it as "partial 16S ribosomal RNA". It matches the Rfam family "Bacterial small subunit ribosomal RNA", at positions 28 to 507 of the family's 1533-position model. The record is from RNAcentral.
GACGAACGCUGGCGGCGUGCUUAACACAUGCAAGUCGAACGGAAAGGCCCUGCUUUUUUGGGGUUCUCGAGUGGCAAACGCGUGAGUAACACGUAAGUAACCUGCCCUUGUCUUUGGGGUAACUUCAGGAAACUGGGGCUACUAUCGGAUAGCAGCUCCUCCUGCAGGGUGGGGAUGGGAACGUUUCGGCGUGUGUGGAUGGACUCGCGGCUUAUCAGCUUGUUGGUGGGGUAGUGGCUUGCCAAGGCUUUGACGGGUAGCUGGCCUGAGAGGGUGACCGGCGACAUUGGCACUGAGAUAAGGCCCAGACUGCGACGGGAGGAAGAAGGGGGGAAUCUUGCACAAUGGGCGGAAGCCUGAUGAAGCAACGCCGCGUGCGGGAUGACGGCCUUCGGGUUGUAGAACGCUAUCGCCUGUGACGAAGCCUGAGUGGCCGUAAUGGGUAAAGAAGCCCCCGCUAACUACGUG